RNAcentral lists this ribosomal RNA (726 nucleotides) under uncultured eukaryote. Its description in RNAcentral is "bacterial SSU rRNA". It matches the Rfam family "Eukaryotic small subunit ribosomal RNA", at positions 671 to 1426 of the family's 1831-position model. The record is from RNAcentral.
GUUGUGUACUGUCUUCUCCAGGUCUUUCCUUCUGGUUCUCAUUUGGGGUUUACUCCAUUUGUUGAUCCAGGAUUUUUACUUUGAAAAAAUUAGAGUGUUCAAAGCAGGCGUUUUGCUCGAAUAUAUUAGCAUGGAAUAAUAGAAUAGGACGCGUGGUUCUAUUUUGUUGGUUUCUAGGACCGCCGUAAUGAUUAAUAGGGACAGUCGGGGGCAUCAGUAUUCGAUUGUCAGAGGUGAAAUUCUUGGAUCUAUUGAAGACUAACUACUGCGAAAGCAUUUGCCAAGGAUGUUUUCAUUGAUAAGGAACGAAAGUUAGGGGAUCGAAGACGAUCAGAUACCGUCGUAGUCUUAACUAUAAACUAUGCCGACUAGGGAUCGGACGAUGUUAUUUCUUGACGCGUUCGGCACCUUUCGAGAAAUCAAAGUGCUUGGGCUCCAGGGGGAGUAUGGUCGCAAGGCUGAAACUUAAAGAAAUUGACGGAAGGGCACCACCAGGGGUGGAACCUGCGGCUUAAUUUGACUCAACACGGGGAAACUCACCAGGUCCAGACACAGUGAGGAUUGACAGAUUGAGAGCUCUUUCUUGAUUCUGUGGGUGGUGGUGCAUGGCCGUUCUUAGUUGGUGGAGUGAUUUGUCUGCUUAAUUGCGAUAACGAACGAGACCUUAACCUGCUAAAUAGCCCGUACUGCUCUGGCAGUUCGCCGGCUUCUUAGAGGGACUAUCGG